UACGUAGGGUGCGAGCGUUGUCCGGAAUUAUUGGGCGUAAAGAGCGCGCAGGCGGUCGUUCAAGUCGCGUGUGAAAGCCCCCGGCUCAACUGGGGAGGGUCACGCGAUACUGAUCGACUGGAAGGCAGGAGAGGGUAGUGGAAUUCCCGGUGUAGUGGUGAAAUGCGUAGAUAUCGGGAGGAACACCAGUGGCGAAGGCGACUACCUGGCCUGUUCUUGACGCUGAGGCGCGAAAGCUAGGGGAGCAAACGGG
This 253-nucleotide ribosomal RNA is filed under the name uncultured bacterium. Its description in RNAcentral is "partial 16S ribosomal RNA". It matches the Rfam family "Bacterial small subunit ribosomal RNA", at positions 524 to 776 of the family's 1533-position model. The record is from RNAcentral.